CUGAACCAGCCAAGUAGCGUGAAGGAUGACUGCCCUAUGGGUUGUAAACUUCUUUUAUAAAGGAAUAAAGUCGGGUAUGGAUACCCGUUUGCAUGUACUUUAUGAAUAAGGAUCGGCUAACUCCGUGCCAGCAGCCGCGGUAAUACGGAGGAUCCGAGCGUUAUCCGGAUUUAUUGGGUUUAAAGGGAGCGCAGACGGGUCGUUAAGUCAGUUGUGAAAGUUUGCGG
RNAcentral lists this ribosomal RNA (227 nucleotides) under uncultured bacterium. RNAcentral's name for it is "partial 16S ribosomal RNA". It matches the Rfam family "Bacterial small subunit ribosomal RNA", at positions 383 to 607 of the family's 1533-position model. The record is from RNAcentral.